This 292-nucleotide ribosomal RNA is filed under the name uncultured bacterium. RNAcentral describes it as "partial 16S ribosomal RNA". It matches the Rfam family "Bacterial small subunit ribosomal RNA", at positions 505 to 796 of the family's 1533-position model. The record is from RNAcentral.
GUGCCAGCCGCCGCGGUAAUACGGAGGAUGCAAGCGUUAUCCGGAAUUAUUGGGCGUAAAGCGUCCGCAGGUGGUUACUCAAGUCUGCUGUCAAAUACUAGAGCUUAACUCUGGAAGGGCAGUGGAAACUGAGAAACUAGAGUCCGGUAGGGGUAGCGGGAAUUCCCAGUGUAGCGGUGAAAUGCGUAGAUAUUGGGAAGAACAUCGGUGGCGAAAGCGCGCUACUGGGCCGGAACUGACACUCAGGGACGAAAGCUAGGGUAGCGAAAGGGAUUAGAUACCCUCGUAGUCC